UAUACUCUAGUGUAAUGGCACAUCAGAUUUUGAUUCUUAUAGUAAUGGGGCAAUCCCAUUGAGUAUAA
This 68-nucleotide transfer RNA is filed under the name Harpiosquilla harpax. RNAcentral's name for it is "tRNA-Gln". It matches the Rfam family "tRNA". Rfam says of the family: Transfer RNA (tRNA) molecules are approximately 80 nucleotides in length. The record is from RNAcentral. Lineage: Eukaryota; Metazoa; Arthropoda; Malacostraca; Stomatopoda; Squillidae.